Long non-coding RNA from Stegodyphus dumicola, 493 nucleotides. The record is from RefSeq and is a predicted model, not a curated record. NCBI's taxonomy places the organism in Eukaryota, Metazoa, Arthropoda, Arachnida, Araneae, Eresidae.
UAAAUGAAUAUUUGCCUUUGACAAAAACUCUACAAGCUAACUGCUGCGUAUUUUUUUUUUUUUUUUUUUUUCAGGGGAAGAAAUCUUUGUACCGUGCUACCACCUCUUAUUGAGGAAACCGUUACUCGGAGGGUAGGGAGAAGAAUACACAGUAGAAGAGAUACCAGCUAUCUUAGAAUAGCGACAGAAUCAUAUUGUAGUUCUCGGUUUUGCAAUACAAAACUUGCACGCUCUUGUAAAAUGGAUUCAAGUUCCUUUCAGAAGGUUGCAGGAAUUUUUGACUUAGAGAUAGGAGUUGAAAAAGAAUUUAUAGUACAGUUAUAGAAUGUUCUGGAUGUAUUUAAAGCGAAUUGGAAUGGAUGACGAGGCUGACGUCUUCUUGGAAGCUCCGCCUUUCCAGAGGCUAUAAAAAGACUCGCAAAGGAAUAUCGGGGGCUUUUUCUUAAAUGUCACGAUGCAGUAAACUUCAUACAAAAAGUUAUUAGUAAUUCUU